This 851-nucleotide long non-coding RNA is filed under the name Rattus norvegicus (Norway rat). RNAcentral's name for it is "long non-coding RNA NONRATT000867". Lineage: Eukaryota; Metazoa; Chordata; Mammalia; Rodentia; Muridae. The record is from RNAcentral.
UCUCAACAGCUCAGCACAAGACCGCAGCUCAUCCUGCCUCCAGCAAAACCAGAAGUGCUUCUCCCUUACCUGAAGCCACUGUGAAACCCCCUGAGCAUCAAGAUCCCUGUGGCAGUGCCCCUGGCCUGGCCCUUGCUCCUGUUAGUGACCAGACGCUCUCUGGAUCCAGUGAAGAGAUGUCACUAGCACCACCGCCACCACCUCCCCCCCCUCCGCCACUUCCUCCUCCACCACUUCUUCCUCCCUCUGCUUUGCCCUCUUUUCAAGGUACCACUCAUCAGAAUAUAGGGUUCCAGACUCUGGCAACAGAGGACCAGCCGUUCCCUCUAGCCUGUGAUAUGUCUGCCAGAAGACCAGGAGGGUCUGAUUGCCAGGAGGGUUUCCAGCGUCCAGGUAACCCACUGCACUUCUGCCCCCUCUCUCUGGGUUCGUAAGAUGUCGAAAACAUCUCUUAGUUUCAAUUUAGAAUCUUCUUCAGAGUUAUCUUGUCUCAGAGUAUGCCACCAUCAGUCUUGUUAGUACUCUCCUAUUGCAAUUAGUACAAACAAGACAACCUGACAAAUGCUAACUCAGCCUGAAGCCACGUCUCUGCAAAGAUCGGCUUCCCUGUUCUUCAGAAACUACCAGAGUUUCUCAGUACAGCUGUGACCGGCGCUGUUACAUCCCUGAGUCAUCCACAGAACUGAAGUGUUGAAGUUAACUGAGAAUACCAGAAAAGUGCGCCACCUUUUGUCUUCACACUAAACACACUCAAGCAUUUGUUUAGCAAGGGCCACGUUCUCAUGCAUAAUUCUAUCAUCGCUUUAGACAUUACGUUCAGGGGAAACUUUCUCUCCUGAAUCUGCCAGGAC